CCCCGGUAAACGGCGGCCGUAACUAUAACGGUCCUAAGGUAGCGAAAUUCCUUGUCGGGUAAGUUCCGACCUGCACGAAUGGCGUAAUGAUGGCCAGGCUGUCUCCACCCGAGACUCAGUGAAAUUGAACUCGCUGUGAAGAUGCAGUGUACCCGCGGCAAGACGGAAAGACCCCGUGAACCUUUACUAUAGCUUGACACUGAACAUUGAGCCUUGAUGUGUAGGAUAGGUGGGAGGCUUUGAAGUGUGGACGCCAGUCUGCAUGGAGCCGACCUUGAAAUACCACCCUUUAAUGUUUGAUGUUCUAACGUGGACCCGUAAUCCGGGUUGCGGACAGUGUCUGGUGGGUAGUUUGACUGGGGCGGUCUCCUCCUAAAGAGUAACGGAGGAGCACGAAGGUUGGCUAAUCCUGGUCGGACAUCAGGAGGUUAGUGCAAUGGCAUAAGCCAGCUUGACUGCGAGCGUGACGGCGCGAGCAGGUGCGAAAGCAGGUCAUAGUGAUCCGGUGGUUCUGAAUGGAAGGGCCAUCGCUCAACGGAUAAAAGGUACUCCGGGGAUAACAGGCUGAUACCGCCCAAGAGUUCAUAUCGACGGCGGUGUUUGGCACCUCGAUGUCGGCUCAUCACAUCCUGGGGCUGAAGUAGGUCCCAAGGGUAUGGCUGUUCGCCAUUUAAAGUGGUACGCGAGCUGGGUUUAGAACGUCGUGAGACAGUUCGGUCCCUAUCUGCCGUGGGCGCUGGAGAACUGAGGGGGGCUGCUCCUAGUACGAGAGGACCGGAGUGGACGCAUCACUGGUGUUCGGGUUGUCAUGCCAAUGGCACUGCCCGGUAGCUAAAUGCGGAAGAGAUAAGUGCUGAAAGCAUCUAAGCACGAAACUUGCCCCGAGAUGAGUUCUCCCUGAGACUUAGAGUCUCCUGAAGGAAC
This 924-nucleotide ribosomal RNA is filed under the name Salmonella enterica. Its description in RNAcentral is "partial 23S ribosomal RNA". It matches the Rfam family "Bacterial large subunit ribosomal RNA", at positions 1918 to 2836 of the family's 2925-position model. The record is from RNAcentral. RNAcentral also lists the same sequence under 4 other names. Lineage: Bacteria; Pseudomonadati; Pseudomonadota; Gammaproteobacteria; Enterobacterales; Enterobacteriaceae.